Molecule: ribosomal RNA, 478 nt
Filed under: Epipactis palustris
Lineage: Eukaryota; Viridiplantae; Streptophyta; Magnoliopsida; Asparagales; Orchidaceae
Description: eukaryotic LSU rRNA
Rfam family: Eukaryotic large subunit ribosomal RNA (bases 335-478)
Source: RNAcentral
UGCAGAAUCCCGUGAACCAUCAAGUCUUUGAACGCAAGUUGCGCCCGAGGCCAAUCGGCUAAGGGCACGUCUGCCUGGGCGUCAAGCGUUGCGCCGCUUCGUGCCAUCACCACACACCAAUGGGUGUGAUGUUGUAGGCUCGAAUGUGAAGAGUGGUUCGCCGUGCCCAUUGGCGCGACGGACUAAAGAGCGGGUUGUUGUCCUCAUGGCCAUGAUCGACAAAGGGUGGACGAAAGCCGCGAGCACGACCAAACAUUGUCUAAUUCUGGCCUGAGGAAGCUUAUACAUCCCAGUUGAACUCAAACCCACAUGCCGCAAGCGUCGGCUUGGAAUGCGACCCCAGGAUGGGCGGGACCACCCGCCGAGUUUAAGCAUAUCAAUAAGCGGAGGAGAAGAAACUUAAGAGGAUUCCCCUAGUAACGGCGAGCGAACCGGGAUCAGCCCAGCAUGGGAAUCGAGUUGCCAUCUAGUGGCUCGA